GGCGAACGGGUGAGUAACACGUGAGCAACCUGCCCCUGACUCUGGGAUAAGCCCGGGAAACUGGGUCUAAUACCGGAUACGACUCCUUGCCGCAUGGUGGGGGGUGGAAAGUUUUUCGGUUGGGGAUGGGCUCGCGGCCUAUCAGCUUGUUGGUGGGGUAGUGGCCUACCAAGGCGACGACGGGUAGCCGGCCUGAGAGGGCGAUCGGCCACACUGGGACUGAGACACGGCCCAGACUCCUACGGGAGGCAGCAGUGGGGAAUAUUGCACAAUGGGGGGAACCCUGAUGCAGCGACGCCGCGUGCGGGAUGACGGCCUUCGGGUUGUAAACCGCUUUCAGCAGGGACGAAUCAAGACGGUACCUGCAGAAGAAGCGCCGGCUAACUACGUGCCAGCAGCCGCGGUAAUACGUAGGGCGCAAGCGUUGUCCGGAAUUAUUGGGCGUAAAGAGCUCGUAGGCGGCUUGUCGCGUCGGACGUGAAAGCUCGGGGCUUAACCCUGAGUCUGCGUUCGAUACGGGCAGGCUAGAGGCAGGUAGGGGAGAACGGAAUUCCCGGUGUAGCGGUGAAAUGCGCAGAUAUCGGGAGGAACACCGGUGGCGAAGGCGGUUCUCUGGGCCUGUACUGACGCUGAGGAGCGAAAGCGUGGGGAGCGAACAGGAUUAGAUACCCUGGUAGUCC
This 680-nucleotide ribosomal RNA is filed under the name uncultured bacterium. RNAcentral's name for it is "bacterial SSU rRNA". It matches the Rfam family "Bacterial small subunit ribosomal RNA", at positions 97 to 796 of the family's 1533-position model. The record is from RNAcentral.